This 272-nucleotide ribosomal RNA is filed under the name uncultured prokaryote. RNAcentral's name for it is "partial 16S ribosomal RNA". It matches the Rfam family "Bacterial small subunit ribosomal RNA", at positions 524 to 794 of the family's 1533-position model. The record is from RNAcentral.
CACGUAGGAGGCGAACGUUAUCCGGAUUUAUUGGGCGUAAAGCGCGUGUAGGUGGUUCUGUAAGUAGGGCGUGAAAGCUCCUGGCUCAACCGGGAGAGGCCGUUCUAUACUGCAGAGCUAGAGGAUGGUAGAGGGAGGUGGAAUUCCAGGUGUAGCGGUGGAAUGCGCAGAUAUCUGGAGGAACACCAGUGGCGAAGGCGGCCUCCUGGACCAUUCCUGACACUGAGACGCGAAAGCUAGGGUAGCAAACGGGGAUUAGAUACCCCUGUAGU